GCCUCUUGCAUACAAUGAAUAAGAGGUCCCGCCUGCCCUGUGACCCUAGUUUAACGGCCGCGGUAUUUUGACCGUGCAAAGGUAGCGCAAUCACUUGUCUUUUAAAUGAAGACCUGUAUGAAUGGCAUAACGAGGGCUUAACUGUCUCCUUUUUCCAGUCAAUGAAAUUGAUCUCUCCGUGCAGAAGCGGGGAUAACCCCAUAAGACGAGAAGACCCUAUGGAGCUUCAGACAACACAAUGGACCAUGUUAACAAACCUUACACAACAAGAAUAAACCAAUUGGGACCCAUUUCAAUGUCUUUGGUUGGGGCGACCGCGGGGUAAUAAAAAACCCCCACGUGGAUAAAGAGAACUUUCUCUUAUAACCAAGACUGACAAGUCUAAGUACCAGAACAUCUGACCAAAAAUGAUCCGGCAAUGCCGAUCAACGAACCGAGUUACCCUAGGGAUAACAGCGCAAUCCUCUCCUAGAGCCCAUAUCGACGAGGGGGUUUACGACCUCGAUGUUGGAUCAGGACAUCCUAAUGGUGCAGCCGCUAUUAAGGUUCGUUUGUUCAACGAUUAA
RNAcentral lists this ribosomal RNA (566 nucleotides) under Tylosurus melanotus. RNAcentral's name for it is "partial 16S ribosomal RNA". It matches the Rfam family "Bacterial large subunit ribosomal RNA", at positions 1818 to 2591 of the family's 2925-position model. The record is from RNAcentral. Lineage: Eukaryota; Metazoa; Chordata; Actinopteri; Beloniformes; Belonidae.